GAUGAACGCUGGCGGCGUGCUUAACACAUGCAAGUCGAACGGAAAGGCCCAAGCUUGCUUGGGUGCUCGAGUGGCGAACGGGUGAGUAACACGUGGGUGAUCUGCCCUGCACUUUGGGAUAGGCCUGGGAAACUGGGUCUAAUACCGGAUAGGACCAUCGUUUAGUGUCGGUGGUGGAAAGUUUUUCGGUGUGGGAUGAGCUCGCGGCCUAUCAGCUUGUUGGUGGGGUAAUGGCCUACCAAGGCGUCGACGGGUAGCCGGCCUGAGAGGGUGUACGGCCACAUUGGGACUGAGAUACGGCCCAGACUCCUACGGGAGGCAGCAGUGGGGAAUAUUGCACAAUGGGCGCAAGCCUGAUGCAGCGACGCCGCGUGGGGGAUGACGGCCUUCGGGUUGUAAACUCCUUUCGCCAAGGACGAAGCGUUUUGUGACGGUACUUGGAGAAGAAGCACCGGCUAACUACGUG
RNAcentral lists this ribosomal RNA (466 nucleotides) under uncultured bacterium. RNAcentral describes it as "partial 16S ribosomal RNA". It matches the Rfam family "Bacterial small subunit ribosomal RNA", at positions 28 to 507 of the family's 1533-position model. The record is from RNAcentral.